This 253-nucleotide ribosomal RNA is filed under the name uncultured bacterium. Its description in RNAcentral is "partial 16S ribosomal RNA". It matches the Rfam family "Bacterial small subunit ribosomal RNA", at positions 524 to 776 of the family's 1533-position model. The record is from RNAcentral.
UACGGAGGAUGCAAGCGUUAUCCGGAAUAAUUGGGCGUAAAGCGUCCGUAGGUGGCUGUUCAAGUCUGCCGUUAAAGACCGGGGCUUAACCCUGGAAAGGCGGUGGAAACUGAGCGGCUAGAGUGCAGUAGGGGUAGAGGGAAUUCCCAGUGUAGCGGUGAAAUGCGUAGAGAUUGGGAAGAACACCGGUGGCGAAAGCGCUCUGCUGGACUGCAACUGACACUGAGGGACGAAAGCUAGGGGAGCUAAUGGG